UUUCCGUAGGUGAACCUGCGGAAGGAUCAUUAGUGAAUUGAAUAUGUUAGCGGACCUCUUCGGAGUCCCUAGCAUCAAAUCAUAUCCAUAACACCUGUGAACUGUAAGGCUGUCUUGAAAACGAAAGUGAUUAGGGCGCCUGCCCAUUUUAUACAAACAUUAAAGUAACAAACGUAGUCUUAUUAUAAUCUAAUAAACUUUCAACAACGGAUCUCUUGGCUCUC
This 224-nucleotide unclassified non-coding RNA is filed under the name plant metagenome. RNAcentral describes it as "partial contains small subunit ribosomal RNA, internal transcribed spacer 1, and 5.8S ribosomal RNA". The record is from RNAcentral.